Molecule: long non-coding RNA, 398 nt
Organism: Leptonychotes weddellii (Weddell seal)
Lineage: Eukaryota; Metazoa; Chordata; Mammalia; Carnivora; Phocidae
Source: RefSeq, a predicted model, not a curated record
AGUAACAGAAAGAGGGGCGGAGGAGGCGAGAGGAAGGGGUUGCAACUCUUCCCCUCUUUGUACUUUACAUUUCCUUAACUAAGGAGAAAAGGGAGAAGAACGGUAAAGAGCAACCUGAAAGGAGAACUCAUUAGAGGGUGACACAGCUAAUGGAAAUUACUCACACUAUGAAAGGUAGAAGGUAUAUUGAGAUUAUAUUUGCAGCAAUCCGAAAUUUCAUAAAAAGGAAAAACUUCUACUAGCCUCUCUCUUCCCGAUGAAUCUGCACUGAAGAAAGCCCAGCUGAGGACACAGCAAGGAGACAGCCAUCUGCAAGCCCGAAAGAGUCCUCACCAGAAAUUGAGCCCUGUUGGACCUUGACCUUGGACUUCCAUCUUUCAGAACUGUGAGAAAAUUAA